Pelecanus crispus (Dalmatian pelican) is the source of this 74-nucleotide non-coding RNA. The record is from Rfam. NCBI's taxonomy places the organism in Eukaryota, Metazoa, Chordata, Aves, Pelecaniformes, Pelecanidae.
GCUGGGUUAGCUCAGUUGGUUAGAGUGUGGUGCUAAUAACACCAAGGUCAUGGGUUCAAUCCCUGCUCACUGCA